RNAcentral lists this ribosomal RNA (497 nucleotides) under uncultured bacterium. RNAcentral describes it as "partial 16S ribosomal RNA". It matches the Rfam family "Bacterial small subunit ribosomal RNA", at positions 28 to 507 of the family's 1533-position model. The record is from RNAcentral.
GAUGAACGCUGGCGGCGUGCCUAAUACAUGCAAGUAGAGCGAAGAGACGAGGAGUUUGCUCCCCUGAUGUUUGCGGCGGACGGGUGAGUAACACGGGGAUAACCUCUCUAUAAGAGUGGGAUCACUUCGGGAAACUGGAGCUAAUCCCGGAAAAGCUAUUGAUCCGUAUGGAUUAAUAGUGAAAGACGGUUUUGCUGUUACUUAUAGAAGGAUCCGGGCCUUAUUAGCUUGUUGGGAUGGUAACGGCUUACCAAGGCAACAUUGAGUAGCCGACCUGAGAGGGGGAUCGGCCAACCUGGAACUGAGCACCGGCCAAAACCCCUACGGAAGGAACCAGUAGGGAAUCUUCCGCAUUGGGCGAAAGCUUGACGAGGCAACGCGGCGGGAGGGAUGAGGGUCUUCGGAUCGUAAACCUCUGUUAUAAGGGAAGAACAAUUGUGUAAGUAAAUAUGCACGUCUUGACGGUACCUAAUCAGAAAGCCACGGCUAACUACGUG